GGCCGACAAGGUGCUGGAGGGGCAGAUCCUGGAGACCAUCAGUCAGCUCUACCUGUCCCUGGGCACGGAGUGGGCCUACAAAUCCGCUCUGGACUACGCCAAACGAAGUCUGGAGAUUUUCAUUGACCUCCAGAGGAAAGAGAAGGAGGCGCAUGCCUGGCUGCAAGCAGGGAAGAUCUAUUACAUCCUGCGACAGAGCGAGCUGGUGGACCUGUGCAUCCAGGUGGCACAGAAUGUGGCCCUGUACACAGGCGACCCCAACCUGGGGCUGGAGCUGUUUGAGGCAGCUGGAGACAUCUUCUUCAAUGGGGCCUGGGAGCGGGAGAAAGCCGUGUCCUUCUACCGGGGGACCGGCUGAACGAGCGCGUGGCCUACCACCGGCUGGCCGCCCUGCACCACCGACUGGGCCACGGCGAGCUGGCGGAGCACUUCUACCUCAAGGCCCUGUCGCUCUGCAACUCGCCGCUGGAGUUCGACGAGGAGACCCUCUACUACGUGAAGGUGUACCUGGUGCUCGGUGACAUCAUCUUCUACGACCUGAAGGUGGGUGGGGAGGUGCAGGGCUUGGGGUAUUCCCAGCCCCUUGGAGUGGGAUCUCCACCCAGACCCCAGAGGCCUGGGUUCCAGCCUUCCUUAGGAAUGGCUCAGUGGCCUCCCUGGAGCUCUGCACCCAGCUGGAGGAGCCGGCAAAGUUAGUAGAUACAACCCAGCUCCCAAGAUGGCCAGGCCCCACCCUCAAGAAGUCAGUCUCAGCCAGGGAGGCUGACACAUGAGCGGGCAAUGGUGGCCUCUGGGUAAAGAAGGGGGAUUGUAGUCAGGGGGGCCCUCCUGGAGGAGGUGACACCAAAGCUGAGUCUUGACAGUCAAGUGUCAAGUUGCAUUUAACAAAGAAAACAGGGUGGGGAGAAGGACAUUUCUGAGGACGGCAUCAUCCUCACAUGGAAUCCACGUUGUAAGAUCCAACCCAAAUCCCAGCGCCUCCUCUAGGAAGCCUGCCCAGGGUGCCAGCCCGCACUGAGCAACUCCUUCCUGGAGUCCCGAGACACCUUGAAUCUUCACAUCACCCAGGAAGGGUGGGGUGGGGCCGGUGUCUUACCAUCUGCUUCACAGACGGAAACCCCAGCUCAGGGCAGGUGCAGUGGGGCCGGGCCCCAGCCAGCCGGGCUGAGGCCUUGCUGGGUCGGGUCUGUCUCGAGGGGAGGUGCUGGGACCUGGGCUCCCUCUGACCCCAGCCCUGCAGGGCUGGAGAGCUGGGACUGGCAGACUCGGACCUGGGGUGUCUCCACCCCUCUGCCCAGCAGGCACCCGCCCCUCCUAGCAUCGCACCGGCACCGCGUCAGUGCUCCUUAUGGGCUGAGGGGCCAGGGCACGCCAGUCCAGGGACCGAGAUCUUGGGGGCCUUAGAACAACAUGAGGAGCUGGGGCAGCCCUAAGACCCCGCCCCGUAUCCCCCACCGCAGGCCUGGGGCUGCCCGGGAGGCCCCCGCCCAGUGCUGGCGACACCUG
This 1506-nucleotide long non-coding RNA is filed under the name Cercocebus atys (sooty mangabey). RNAcentral's name for it is "lncRNA (ENSCATG00000045591.1)". The record is from RNAcentral. Lineage: Eukaryota; Metazoa; Chordata; Mammalia; Primates; Cercopithecidae.